This 2000-nucleotide ribosomal RNA is filed under the name uncultured eukaryote. RNAcentral describes it as "SSU rRNA". It matches the Rfam family "Eukaryotic small subunit ribosomal RNA". The record is from RNAcentral.
CUGCCAGUAGUCAUAUGCUUGUUUCAAGGACUAAGCCAUGCAAGCCUAAGAGUAACUGAGACUAUAGGAGGUCUGCGAACGGCUCAUUAUAUCAGAAAUUAUCUACCGGGAAAAUUGCAGUGAAAACUGCUAAAUGGAUAACUUCGCGAAACGCGAAGCUAAUACAUGUACGCACGUGGUAUUCUCCAUUCAACUGCUAAGGCCAAAAGCCUUGGUAGGGAGGGUAUCUCGCGAAUGGUUGGCACAAAGACCGACGCCAGCGAUGGCAGCGUCCAAAAGCGAUGAAUCAAACCAUUCAGCAGAAGCGUGCUUCGGCACGCGUGUCCCGACGAAUUUCUGCCCUAUCAGCUCUUGACGGUAGUGUAGUGGACUACCGUGGCGAUAACGGGUACGGGGAAUUAGGGUUCGAUUCCGGAGAGGGAGCCUGAGAAAUAGCUACCACUUCUACGGAGGGCAGCAGGCGCGUAAAUUGCCCAAUGCCAAAUUGGUGAGGCAGCGAAGAGAAAUAGCGACUCCGCCUCUCUGAGUGCGGGGAUUGCAAUGGGUGGUAUUUAAAACCACCAACGAGUAACAAUUGGAGGACAAGUCUGGUGCCAGCACCCGCGGUAAUUCCAGCUCCAAUAGCGUAUAUUAACGCUGCUGCUGUUAAAGGGUUCGUAGUUGAAUUCGGAGUUUUCGAGUUUUGGUUCCAUUCCGGUUCCUUUCUUCGAAACUCUGUCAUAGAUGGGGACGGAGUCUGGCCGAGGAGCCUCUUCACUGAUGUUCCAACGCCUCUGGGGGAAAACCCCAGUACUUACGCAUGGAUGCAUGCUUGACCGCCCAUCGUUAUCACUGUGAAGAAAACAGCGUGUUCAAGGCAGCCGCUUGCGGUUGUAUGACAAAGCACGGAAUGACAAAGCAUCGACCAAUUGGUCCGUCUUUUGUCGGUUUUUACGAUCAAUUUGGAUAAUAUGUUGGUAAAUCACUCCAUUAUUUCCUUCGGGUCAUUUUGGAACUUUGCCGAACACGGGAUUAAUGGGGGUUGUCGGGGGAAAACGUAUCUGAGCGUGAGAGGUGAAAUUCUUAGACCGCUCGGGGACGAACUUAUGCGAAGGCAUUUUCCAAGUAUACCUUCAUCAAUCAAGAACUAAAGUGUGGAGAUCGAAGAUGAUUAGAUACCAUUGUAGUCCACUACUGCAAACGAUGACGCCCAUGGAUCGGAUAGUUUUUUGCUUCGAUGGGAUCUUUUCGGCACUGCUCCCCCUUCAACGCGAAAGCUGAGGCUAUGGUCUCAUGGGGGAGUACGUUCGCAAGGCUGAAACUUAAAGAAAUUGACGGAAUGGCACCACCAGGCGUGGAGUGUGCGGUUUAAUUUGACUCAACACGGGGAACCUUACCAGGACAGAACAACGCAAGGAUUGACAGAUUGAUAGUUCUUUCUUAAUUCGUUUGACGGUGGUGCAUGGCCGCUUUUGGUCGGUGAAGUGAUUUGUUUGGUUGAUUCCUUUAACGGACGAGACCCAAUCCGCUUAAUAGGGGCACCAUCUGCCUCACGGCUACGGAAGCACCGGAUUCGUCUUGGUGUUCUCCCAGAUAGUGAUACCCCUUCUUCGCGGCAUUCCGUGCGCCUUAGCACGGUGGCAUUUUGGGCAACAGCAGGUCCGUGAUGCUCCUAAAUGUCCUGGGCCACACGCGCACUACAAUGACAAAGUGAAUGAGUGAAACCUCUUGGUCCUGCUUCGAAAGGAGUGGGAAAACUGAAAAAACUAUGUCGUGCUUGGGAUCGAAGCUUGCAAUUAUUCUUCUUGAACGAGGAAUGCCUAGUAGACGUGCUUCAUCAAAGCACAUUGACUACGUCCCUGCCAUUUGUACACACCGCCCGUCGUUGCUACCGAUGCCAGUUGGAUACAGAUCAACGGACUCCGGCCCUUCGGGGUUUUCGAGGAAGUUGACCCAUGUUUAACUAGUAGAGGAAGCAAAAGUCGUAACAAGGUAGCUGUAGGUGAACCUGCAGAAGGAUC